Xenia sp. Carnegie-2017 is the source of this 426-nucleotide long non-coding RNA. RefSeq lists it as uncharacterized. The transcript is spliced from 2 exons. The record is from RefSeq and is a predicted model, not a curated record. Lineage: Eukaryota; Metazoa; Cnidaria; Anthozoa; Malacalcyonacea; Xeniidae.
CAAAGAAGAAAGCAACCUCAGGAAGCAACCAAAGUUUAUUGUCACCUUGCCACAGCUGUUGCUCCUGUUUAAAGUAUGCCCAUCAUGUGGUACUGAUAAGCCAAUAGUUAAAGUAUCAAAAGUUGGUACUAUGGCUGAUAUAAACAUGUCAUGUGGCAACCUUAGUUGUAAAAAUAGAUAGCACAACUGGAAGUUACAAUCAUUUCUGCCAGGUUCCUGUAUUCCAAUGGGAAACUUUCUCCUCUCAUUUGCCAUUUUAUUGUCUGGAGGUUCUGCUAGCAAGGUACUUCGAGUAUUCACACACAUGGGUCUUCAAGGCAUAUCUUUGACCACAUUCUUCAAACAUCAAAGGGAAUUGCUUUUCCCAAUGGUCAGGAUCCAUUGGAGGAAAUACAAGCUGGCCAUGUUGGAAGCAAUUAAGAAGCA